GAAGCGGGAAGUAUGGAGGGAAGUAUGAGGGUUCUCAGUUGAACCUUUAAGGGUUCUACUAUGAUUCGACAGGAUGAGGGAUGAUAAAAGAAAAAGUCAAUUGUGUUAUGGUCUGAGGA
This is a long non-coding RNA of Alosa sapidissima (American shad), 119 nucleotides long. RefSeq lists it as uncharacterized. The record is from RefSeq and is a predicted model, not a curated record. Lineage: Eukaryota; Metazoa; Chordata; Actinopteri; Clupeiformes; Clupeidae. The transcript is spliced from 3 exons.